GGAGUUGAUUCACAGUUUCAUUUGUUUAUUUUGGCUACAUUGCGCCAAUUGCGCUUCCAUAGAAUAAAGAAACGCGCUUCCACGCGCUUGCCGACUCGAUCGCAAGGGGACAGCCUGAUCAACAUCAAUAUCAGCAGCAAUGGCGGAUUUGCGCUUGCCAUGGCGCUUGCAAAGUUUUCAAUAGUUUUCGACUAUUAAGUGAUGCUUUUGCUAUUUUAACGUGUGGAGGUUCAUUGUACGUCUGUUUUUUCAAGUUUGGCAUGUGUUUUAACACAUGUGAAGGUGUAGUCUUUUCUUCUUCAGCGGAUAUUUGUACAAGACCCCGUUCACCGUCUAUCAGCUCUAGCUCGGCAAGAAUAAAGCGGUUCCUUAGAAGUGGUGGAGGUGCUGGGGUUCUGCAUACCAAGGACGUAUAAGUGAAGGUGACUUAAACCGACAACAGCCGAGAAGGUGCAAACAGCACUGCGCUGCCUGGUUCUUGCUGUUGGCCUUUUCUUCUUUUCACAGUGUCCUUACUGUAAGUGCACUCCAGAGUUACAAUGCAGGAAUAUGCAUGUGUGCAUAAGCUUUCAUUCAAGAGUAACUCAUGAUCAUAAGUUACGUCAUCAUGGUUUCGUACCAUGUCACGGCAUCAUAAGUGAGACAUAAUAAAGAAGCCCUCAAAGUCUGCGGGAGAGACUAAUCUUUUGUGCGAGAUUGUGCUAUCCUUGCUGAACGCAGUGCAAUAUUAUAUGACUCUCAUGUCUAUGGUGGCAUUGUCGAUUAUGAAUGUUUCCUUACUGCGUUAAAAAAAUGUGUAGUGCAUCUUUCAGAUAAUAAUGGCAUUAUAGCUUCAGAGUUGUUCAAGUUUGGGGUACUUCUUCACUAAAAGUACAUUAUCAGAAAAGCUUUAGAAUGUCUAGGUCAUAAUUGCAUUUGAAGAACGAAGUCUUCCUACACAUAGCAAUUGGUAGCUUACUGUGUAAUGUUGAAGGUGGUUUUUAUUCCUAGGCCCUACGCAGAGAGCAGCAACACAAUGCCUGGCAUGUGACCAGGGUUCGUCACAGUGUUUGCAUUUCCAGUGCUCGUAACUGAUUCCAAGCAUAAAUUUGCUUUAUGAAUUCUUUGUAGACAGAAGGUGCUUGAAUAUUGGUUGCAUGAAAUGCUCCAAUGCACACUGUAUAUGUACAGGGUGUCUUUUAUUACCAUACAGAUUUUCUUGUUUUAAAGUUAUGAGCGCAGCAAAUGUGGCAUUCUUGCAGAGGAAUUCCUCUAUUUUGGAACUCCACAAAUUUGGAGGCAGUCACAUUUUAUAGCACUUUCAUUUCUUACAAAUCUUGAAAGUUGCACCUAAUUCAAGAUAUUCAUCAUUGAAUUUCACUGGUAAAUCGAGGCAAUAUUGGAACAGAGUGUGCUGGGAGCGCAGAAAAGAAGGUCCCGCUACCUCAUCAGAUGGAAACACCCCCGACAACAGGCUCGAGAAAGUCUGAAACAACAUCUUGGCCAGUCAUUGUAGCAGCUGAUACGACACACUUUGCCUUGCAAGCAUGUGCAUCAGUGUGCCGUGUCAGGCUAUCAUUUAAGCUUUGUCCCACACUUCUUGACAGGGCACUGCCGCCUGAUGUGGAGCAGGAUGCACCAAGUUUUGAUUGUACUCAAUUGAGCGCGAUAAUGAAUAUUUCAAAAUAAGUGCAAUUUUCGAGAUUUCGAAAAAGAAAGGGUGUGCGUUCACAUGUGACUGCCUCCAAAUAUGCCAUUUAGAAGGCUGUCGCCAAGUUACUAAUAAAGAAGUGACUGAAUUUUUCAAAAUUAAUUUUCUGAAACUUGCAUUAGCAGCAAAGUGUGUCCUCCUCACCUAGAAACUCCUUUGCAAGAACGACAGGCUCUCUGUGCUCAAAACUUUUUGCUAAAUAUCUGCAUGGUUAAAAAAAACAAACUAGAUAUGCAUAAUUGUUAAUGUAUGAAAAUCGUACACUAUCGCUUUUCAAAAUUUUUGUCCUAUGCAACACCAGAAAAAUUGGAAAUAGAAGCUUCAGGUGACCUAUCUGAUGUGCAAGUUGCAUGGCCAUAUUAUUGUUUUAAUUUUUCGCUAUUACCUUUUACUGUGAUGUCGCCACUGCAGCAGCUCGAUGGCUGUGGCUUUUCAUUCCAGGUCACAAAGCUGCACCCAGGUAGAAGCAGAAUCCAAAAAUGCUUGUGUACUUCAAGUAUAGCUGCACAUUACAGAAUCCGAGGCCCUCAAGAUUUAUCCGUAGCCCUCGUGUAGCCCACGAGUUCCAUAUUUUUUAUUGGGAUUGAAGAGUAACGUUUGUGCUGUAUCCCAAUAUUUCAGACUAAAUAAUGUGCAUGCAAAAUUAUAUCUUCAUUACUUUACACCAUUGCACCAAUAUCUGUUGUGCGUUGAUUUUCUGAUGUCCUUGCAUUUGCUAUAGCAAGGAUUUUUAAAAAUCAGCCACAAAAGAAAAAAUAAAUGGUCAAGGAACGAAGUGGUGUGUAGCAGCUCCCUUUUUUUUAAUCGGCGGCAAGUUUUGCACUCGUGUGUUAGCAACACUGUUUCGCCAGUUGUGUACUUCAAAAGAAGUGUUACCUUUCUGCUUUAGAACUUUGUGGUUUUGUUCUGCCAGCUGCUUGACCAACACAAGCAAAAUGUACUUUGGAUAUUCCACAAAUUCAUUCUGUAUGCAUUUGGUACAAUAAAAUUUGUUUCAAGAAUGGACAAA
Dermacentor andersoni is the source of this 2699-nucleotide non-coding RNA. Lineage: Eukaryota; Metazoa; Arthropoda; Arachnida; Ixodida; Ixodidae. The record is from RefSeq and is a predicted model, not a curated record.